GCUGGACAUGGUGGUGCAUGUCUGUAGUCUCAGCUACUUGAGAGGCUGAGGCAGGAGGAUUGCUUGAGCCCAGAAGUUCAGGGUUGCAGUGAGCUAUGAUUGUGCUACUGGACCCCAGCCUGGGUGACAAAGAAAGACCGUGUCUCAU
RNAcentral lists this non-coding RNA (148 nucleotides) under Nomascus leucogenys (northern white-cheeked gibbon). The record is from Rfam by way of RNAcentral. Lineage: Eukaryota; Metazoa; Chordata; Mammalia; Primates; Hylobatidae.